Molecule: ribosomal RNA, 1682 nt
Filed under: metagenome
Description: bacterial LSU rRNA
Rfam family: Bacterial large subunit ribosomal RNA
Source: RNAcentral
AAAACAUUGGUAGAGGAGCAUUGCUAGCGGGAUGAAGCCAUACCGAAAGGAGUGGUGGACUGCUAGGAAGAGUGAAUGCCGGAAUGAGUAGCGAGAUGAAGGUGAGAAUCCUUCAGGCCGAAUAUCUAAGGUUUCCAGAGUAAAGCUGAUCUGCUCUGGGUAAGUCGGGACCUAAGGCGAGGUCGAAAGACGUAGUCGAUGGAUAACAGGUUGAAAUUCCUGUACCGCAUAUAAACAGAACUGUGGGGACACAGACAGGGAAUGGAAUCCGGGGAUGGAGAACCCGGAGCAAGCGAGGUAGGAGUGCUGUUGGCAAAUCCGCAGCACGAUCUGAAGACGUGGUGCGUACCGAACAUAAGUAGGGAAGUCCAGGCCCCUGGCUGUCAAGAAAAGCCGCUAUUGUUUUAUAUGUGCCCGUACCGCAAACCGACACGGGUGGAUGAGGAGAGAAUCCUAAGGCCGACGGGAGAAGUAUUGUUAAGGAACUCGGCAAAAUGACUCCGUAACUUCGGGAGAAGGAGUGCCAUGAGAGUGGCCGCAGAGAAAUGGCCCAAGCAACUGUUUAGCAAAAACACAGGUCUAUGCAAAACCGCAAGGUGAAGUAUAUGGGCUGACGCCUGCCCGGUGCUGGAAGGUUAAGGGGAGAGGUUAGCGCAAGCGAAGCUUUGAACUUAAGCCCCAGUAAACGGCGGCCGUAACAAUAACGGUCCUAAGGUAGCGAAAUUCCUUGUCGGGUAAGUUCCGACCCGCACGAAAGGCGUAAUGAUUUGGGCACUGUCUCAACGAUACACCCGGUGAAAUUGAAAUACCAGUGAAGAUGCUGGUUACCUGCGCCAGGACGGAAAGACCCCAUGGAGCCUUACUCCAGUUUGAUACUGGGAUUCGGCAUGGUAUGUACAGGAUAGGUGGGAGACUGAGAAGGUAUGACGUCAGUUGUACCGGAGUCGCUGUUGGGAUACCACCCUUACCAUGUUGGAUUUCUAACCUGUGGCCGUGAACCGGUCAGGGGACAAUGUCAGGCGGGGAGUUUGACUGGGGCGGUCGCCUCCGAAAGGGUAUCGGAGGCGCUCAAGGGUUCCCCCAGAAUGGUUGGAAACCAUUCGAAGAGUGCAAAGGCAGAAGGGAGCUUGACUGUGACACCGACGGGUGGAGCAGGUACGAAAGUAGGACUUAGUGAUCCGGUGGUAUAAAGUGGGAUUGCCAUCGCUCAACGGAUAAAAGCUACCCUGGGGAUAACAGGCUUAUCACUCCCAAGAGUUCACAUCGACGGAGUGGUUUGGCACCUCGAUGUCGGCUCAUCGCAUCCUGGAGCUGUAGCAGGUUCCAAGGGUUGGGCUGUUCGCCCAUUAAAGCGGUACGCGAGCUGGGUUCAGAACGUCGUGAGACAGUUCGGUCCCUAUCCGGCGCAGGCGGAGGAAAUUUGAUAGGAGCUGUCCUUAGUACGAGAGGACCGGGAUGGACGGACCGCUGGUGUAUCUGUUGUACUGCCAAGUGCAUCGCAGAGUAGCCAAGUCUGGAAGGGAUAAACGCUGAAGGCAUCUAAGCGUGAAGCCCCCCUAAAGAUAAGAUUUCCCAUACCAAAAGGUAGUAAGACCCCUUGAAGACGACGAGGUAGAUAGGGCAGAGGUGGAAGUGUGGUAACGCAUGGAGCUGACUGUUACUAAUCGGUCGAGGCUUUAAUC